UACGGGGGGGGCAAGCGUUGUUCGGAAUUACUGGGCGUAAGGGCUCGUAGGUGGCCAACUAAGUCAGACGUGAAAUCCCUCAGCUUAACUGGGGAACUGCGUCUGAUACUGGAUGGCUUGAGUUUGGGAGAGGGAUGCGGAAUUCCAGGUGUAGCGGUGAAAUGCGUAGAUAUCUGGAGGAACACCGGUGGCGAAGGCGGCAUCCUGGACCAACACUGACACUGAGGAGCGAAAGCCAGGGGAGCAAACGGG
RNAcentral lists this ribosomal RNA (252 nucleotides) under uncultured bacterium. Its description in RNAcentral is "partial 16S ribosomal RNA". It matches the Rfam family "Bacterial small subunit ribosomal RNA", at positions 524 to 776 of the family's 1533-position model. The record is from RNAcentral.